CCGUAGGUGAACCUGCGGAGGGAUCAUUACUGAGUUGCCACUCCCAAAACCCCCGUGAACACCACAGCAGUUGCCUCGGCGGGACCGCCCCGGCGCCCCAGGGCCCGGACCAGGGCGCCCGCCGGAGGACCCCCAGACUCUCCUGUCGCAGUGGCGUCUCUCAGUCAAGAAGCAAGCAAAUGAAUCAAAACUUUCAACAACGGAUCUCUUGGUUCUCGCAUCGAUGAAGAACGUAGCAAAGUGCGAUAACUAGUGUGAAUUGCAUAUUCAGUGAAUCAUCGAGUCUUUGAACGCAACUUGCGCUCAAUGGUAUUCCAUUGAGCACGCCUGUUUCAGUAUCAAAAACACCCCACAUUCAUAAUUUUAUUGUGAAUGGAAUUGAGAAUUUCGACUUGUUUGAAUUCUUUAAACCUAUUAGGCCUGAACUAUUGUUCUUUUUGCCUGAACAUUUUUUUAAUAUAAAGGAAUGCUCUAGUAUUAAGACUAUCUCUGGGGCCUCCCAAAUAAAACUUUCUUAAAUUUGAUCUGAAAUCAGGCGGGAUUACCCGCUGAACUUAAGCAUAUCAAUAAGCGGAGG
RNAcentral lists this ribosomal RNA (577 nucleotides) under uncultured fungus. RNAcentral describes it as "eukaryotic LSU rRNA". The stretch from base 189 to 341 matches the Rfam family "5.8S ribosomal RNA". Lineage: Eukaryota; Fungi. The record is from RNAcentral.